Molecule: long non-coding RNA, 551 nt
Filed under: Lepisosteus oculatus (spotted gar)
Lineage: Eukaryota; Metazoa; Chordata; Actinopteri; Semionotiformes; Lepisosteidae
Description: lncRNA (ENSLOCG00000021650.1)
Source: RNAcentral
UGUAUGUUUGGUGUAGAAAUGAGCCAUUUAUCAUUUCUACAAAUAACGAGUAACUCAUAGUGCCAACAACUCUAUUAUGAAACGCCCACAGCACGGAAAACAUCUAAGAACAAAACCAAAGAUGUCUGGGUGCAUCGUUUCCUUCAUUUACGUGAAUCUGUUUGCUCUCUUCAAAAGAGAGCCUGGUCUUCGCUUUGAGGGGAGAGGCUGCACGCACAGCGAGACAGUUCACCGCACAGCACAGAGCAAGUUUUCUUCCCAUACUGCUCAAAAUCUAAAACCCAUAAUGGCCCACUGGGACUGGAAAGUUGUGCCAGUAAAAGCGCCAGUGAGCGCUGAACCUGGGCUUCAGAGAGGAGGAAGAUGAGUGAGCAGUGACCUAGACUGCAGAGCCACGAUGGACACUGUCCACCACUCAUCCCCCAGAUACACUGGAGUUCUUACUGAAUAUCACACAAUUAUCGAUUGAAGAGCAAAAAUAAGAUUGUUUUAGUAAAUUGUUACCUUUAAAAAAAGGUUUAAAAAAUGUUGAAUAAAUGAGGAUAUACAAG